Molecule: non-coding RNA, 78 nt
Organism: Podarcis lilfordi (Lilford's wall lizard)
Lineage: Eukaryota; Metazoa; Chordata; Lepidosauria; Squamata; Lacertidae
Source: the annotation of a GenBank genome assembly
AUAUACAGUGUGUGUGUGUGUGUGUGUGUGUGUGUGUAUAUAUAUAUAUAUAUAUACACACACACACACUGUAUAUCC